AUUGAACGCUGGCGGCAGGCCUAACACAUGCAAGUCGAGCGGUAGAGAGGAGCUUGCUUCUCUUGAGAGCGGCGGACGGGUGAGUAAUGCCUAGGAAUCUGCCUGAUAGUGGGGGAUAACGUCCGGAAACGGACGCUAAUACCGCAUACGUCCUACGGGAGAAAGUGGGGGCUCUUCGGACCUCACGCUAUCAGAUGAGCCUAGGUCGGAUUAGCUAGUUGGUGGGGUAAGGGCUCACCAAGGCGACGAUCCGUAACUGGUCUGAGAGGAUGAUCAGUCACACUGGAACUGAGACACGGUCCAGACUCCUACGGGAGGCAGCAGUGGGGAAUAUUGGACAAUGGGCGAAAGCCUGAUCCAGCCAUGCCGCGUGUGUGAAGAAGGUCUUCGGAUUGUAAAGCACUUUAAGUUGGGAGGAAGGGUCGUUACCUAAUACGUGACGAUUUUGACGUUACCGACAGAAUAAGCACCGGCUAACUCUGUGCCAGCAGCCGCAGUAA
This 500-nucleotide ribosomal RNA is filed under the name uncultured bacterium. RNAcentral describes it as "partial 16S ribosomal RNA". It matches the Rfam family "Bacterial small subunit ribosomal RNA", at positions 30 to 523 of the family's 1533-position model. The record is from RNAcentral.